GGUACGGUGGCUUAGUGGUUAGCACUCGCACCUCCGGGGUUGUUGGUUCGAUUCCUGCCUCCACCC
Ameiurus melas (black bullhead) is the source of this 66-nucleotide non-coding RNA. The record is from the annotation of a GenBank genome assembly. NCBI's taxonomy places the organism in Eukaryota, Metazoa, Chordata, Actinopteri, Siluriformes, Ictaluridae.